RNAcentral lists this ribosomal RNA (472 nucleotides) under Brevibacillus brevis. RNAcentral describes it as "bacterial SSU rRNA". It matches the Rfam family "Bacterial small subunit ribosomal RNA", at positions 1074 to 1533 of the family's 1533-position model. The record is from RNAcentral. Lineage: Bacteria; Bacillati; Bacillota; Bacilli; Caryophanales; Paenibacillaceae.
GUUGGGUUAAGUCCCGCAACGAGCGCAACCCUUAUUUCUAGUUGCCARCAUUCAGUUGGGCACUCUAGAGAGACUGCCGUCGACAAGACGGAGGAAGGCGGUGAUGACGUCAAAUCAUYAUGCCCCUUAUGACCUGGGCUACACACGUGCUACAAUGGUUGGUACAACGGGAUGCUACCUGGCGAGAGGACGCCAAUCUCUUAAAACCAAUCUCAGUUCGGAUUGUAGGCUGCAACUCGCCUACAUGAAGUCGGAAUCGCUAGUAAUCGCGGAUCAGCAUGCCGCGGUGAAUACGUUCCCGGGCCUUGUACACACCGCCCGUCACACCACGGGAGUUUGCAACACCCGAAGUCGGUGAGGUAACCGCAAGGAGCCAGCCGCCGAAGGUGGGGUAGAUGACUGGGGUGAAGUCGUAACAAGGUAUCCGUACCGGAAGGUGCGGAUGGAUCACCUCCUUUCUGCGGCCGCUUAU